GACGAACGCUGGCGGCGUGCUUAGCACAUGCAAGUCGAACGGUAAGGCCCUUUCGGGGGUACACGAGUGGCGAACGGGUGAGUAACACGUGGGUGAUCUGCCCUGCACUUUGGGAUAAGCCUGGGAAACUGGGUCUAAUACCGGAUAGGACUACGCGAUGCAUGUCGUGUGGUGGAAAGCUUUUGCGGUGUGGGAUGGGCCCGCGGCCUAUCAGCUUGUUGGUGGGGUGAUGGCCUACCAAGGCGACGACGGGUAGCCGGCCUGAGAGGGUGUCCGGCCACACUGGGACUGAGAUACGGCCCAGACUCCUACGGGAGGCAGCAGUGGGGAAUAUUGCACAAUGGGCGCAAGCCUGAUGCAGCGACGCCGCGUGGGGGAUGACGGCCUUCGGGUUGUAAACCCCUUUCAGCACAGACGAAGCGUAAGUGACGGUAUGUGCAGAAGAAGCACCGGCCAACUACGUG
This 464-nucleotide ribosomal RNA is filed under the name uncultured bacterium. Its description in RNAcentral is "partial 16S ribosomal RNA". It matches the Rfam family "Bacterial small subunit ribosomal RNA", at positions 28 to 507 of the family's 1533-position model. The record is from RNAcentral.